Long non-coding RNA from Myiozetetes cayanensis, 3634 nucleotides. RefSeq lists it as uncharacterized. The record is from RefSeq and is a predicted model, not a curated record. The transcript has 2 exons. Lineage: Eukaryota; Metazoa; Chordata; Aves; Passeriformes; Tyrannidae.
GGGCACGGCCGCAGUUCCCUCCUUGGCUCCGCAGUGGGAAGCAGCGGCUGCACCUCCUCUCCUCUCUGCACCCUUGGGUUUCUCAGCCCAGCGUGUGAACGCUGUCUGCACCACCCUUUUUUAUUUCCCCCCCCCCAACCAAGUGUAUUUUUAUAGACUUGGAACCAGGGACCGGCACAACCACUGCUUGUGGAUAGUAUGGUUAAAAUGUCAUAAAUUUUUGUUUUAAACUUAUCUAGCUGAUGGCUUUGGUGUUUGAUGGUUUUGUUUUGGGUCCCAGUUGGUUGGUUCGUUUGUUUUCCCCAAAAUAUAGCGGAUGGCUACGGCAAUGGAGCUGGUGAAGGGAUUAGAGAACAUCUUUGAGGAGCGGCUGAGGGAGCUGGGGUUGUUCAGCCUAGAGAAAAGGAGGCUCAGGGGGAACCUUAUUACUCUCUACAACUCCUUGAAAGGAGGAUAUAGCCAGGUGAGAGCUGACAUGUAACAAGUGACAGGACAAGAGGACACAGUCUUAAGCUGCAGCAGGGGAGGUUUAGGUUGGACAUUAGGAAGCAUUUCUUCAGAGAAAGGGUGAUUAGGCAUUGGAAUGGGCUGCCCAGGGCAAUGGUGGAGUCACCAUGCCUGGAGGUGUUUAAGGAAAGACUGGACCUGGCACUCAGGGCCAUAGUCUGGUUUAACACGGUAGUGUUGGGUCAAAGAUUGGACUCGAUGAUCUCAGAGGUGCUUUUCCAGCAUAAUUGAUCCUGUGAUUCUGUAAUGGUGUUAAUAUGGCUAUUGCACUUGAAAAUACUCUCCACUGUUUCUCCUGUAUUUCUGGCACAAAAAAAAAAAAAAAAGGUGACUUAUAUGAGCAGCAGCCCUCCUGUGUUGAUAUGGCCAAAUCCCUCUGAGGUACAGUUUGUUUGGUUAUUUUUUAGGAAAUGAGCUCGAGGACAGUUUGAGAGCUGGUUGCUUUGGUGGAUAAGUCACAUCCCUCCUUUUAGUGCAGCACCCAAGCCUGGACACUGCUACAACUGAGGCCUCAACAGUGCCAGCAUCUGCUGUCCUGCCUGUCACAGACCACAUUCCUGUGUACAUGUGCCAACACAAAUACUUGGGAGUCAGUCUGAUCUAUCCACAGUCUUGCUGACCUGUCUUACCCCCGCAUCCAUUUCUGCUGACCUACCAAGCCAGUUAUUUCUCCCUCAAGUAGACAGUAAUGCUGCUUGAGAAAUUACUUCCUGCAGCGGCCCUAAUGCUAUGCCUUCAGUUUUAUUGCUGGAUAAUCAAGCAGUCAAAACACAUUUUGGAAUAAAAUUCCACAUGAUGUUAAGUCAGAAAACUGUAGAAUUUGCCAUCCUUUGUAAAUUGAUUGCAUUUCUCGCAAGAAUUGUAUUUGAAAAAGCAGAACUUAGAUUGAACUGUGCCGUGGUUACAGAAAGGUUGUGUAACUAAGUUUAGAAGAGAGAUUUGUACAUGUUUUUAAAUAUUUUAAACUUGAAAUUCACUUAAACUAAAGCAGCUAAAAUAAUGUAAGUGUUAGCAAGAAUUGAUAAUGAAGAAUGUAGGUCAAGGACAGGGUGGUGUUAUACCAAUAAAAGGUAAAAUAUGGUGGAAACAGUGUAACUUCCCAUCAGUGAGGGACAGAACCUUGCAGACAAACAUGUUUUGCUGUUAUAUGCACUUAAUUCUGUUAGUUGUGUUUUGUCAGUGACAUACUUUCAUUCUCAGUUUUGUUCACUGUCCUGUGUGCUGCUUUUGAUGUGAACAGUGCAAUGAGCAGCUCGGAAAGUUAUUGCCAGCAUACUCUGCAGAAGGGAAGUUCUAGCACAGCCUGAUGGCUACACUGGCACUUCAGGUGCAGUUGAGCAAGUCAUUUUACAUGAUUGUACUUCACUCUUCCCAGUAUGAGAAGAAAUCCGUCUUUGUAAAACACUAAAAAUCUAAAAUUGAAGCCUAUGAUGUGGGUAUCUAUUCAAAUAAGUGCCACAGAAGGGAUAAAAAUCAACACUGCUGUCCAAGUCCUGUGCACACAGAGGUUUUUACUCCUCAUUCUGCCUUCGUGUAACAGCUACAGAAUUAGUUCUUCAGUACAGCUGAGCAAGCUGGUAAAUAAUGCAUUCCGCUAGUUUAUUUCUUAGAUGGUCAUCAUGUGGUAUGUUUGGUCCAUUUUGCUUGUGUAAAGCAUUUCUAUGAUGUGUUUUACAUCAGUUGAUGUUUGGAUGGUAACAAUUCGAGAAAAAUACAGGCUUUGUCAGUGAAUAAACAGAAAUCUUACCUUUUCUGUUUCGCUUGGCCAUCAGAUUUUGCAGAGUAGGCUUCCCACUUAUUUCCAGAUCGCUUUCUUUUUCCUCCUUUAAUCUGUGAAGUCCUCAUCUGUGAGGAGAUUUAAGAGCACAAUAUAAGAUAUGAAUGUAAAACUGCUGAUAUUUCAAAGGGGAACUUGUCCUUCUCCUAUUCUCUGUAUGGUCUGCAUUUUGUAAAAAUUGCUACUUUAGAAAAAAUGGAUAAGUGAAUUCCAAGGACAGAUGGAGAAGAACUAAGUACAACAGGUGUUUUACAUAGAUGUGUAUCUCUAUAUGUUUGUAUAUGUGUUUGUAUAAAUACAUAUAAUACCAAUUUGCAAGAAUAAAAAUUGACUUUCAUCAGAUAAAGUUCACAUGACCAACAUCUCCCAUACAAGUGUGUGGGCAUAUAGAUGAAAAUAUGUGCACAGUCAGUACCUGCAGCCCUUCCUGGAGACUUACAAGCAAUAAUAAGUUCUUUUGAUCCGUGUUUCUCCACUGCUGUCGAAGGUACAAGACAAGCCUAUCCUUUUCAAAAGUGGCACUGCCUUACUCUCUCACAAAAGGGCUUUUUAAAAAAUAACUGGAGAGGAAUUUUGAGGGCCAGCUCCUUGCCAGUUCGGCACUGCGCUGUUUAGCACCCAGACACUCAGAACAGCAGUCAAGAGUCCUCCAAAACAGAGAUGUUUGUGCCAGUGACUCAGAUUUGUGCCACUUCACGUUUUUUUGUGUGUGUGAUUGAAGUUCCACUAUAGACCAUCUGUUAUGGCCACCCAGGCAGGAGUGCGGAGCUCUCAUCCACACUGGCAUUCUGCUCCCUACAUAGCAGCUUAUCAAACGGGAUUGCUACAGAGAUACCCCUGUGGAAGUCCUGCCCUGCUGAGUGAUAAACAUAAAUGGAUCUGGCUGGAGCUUGUAAACGUCUCACAUGGCACAUCUGACAUGUAUUUGUCUAGAGGAAGGGUCACAUAAUGCUCCAUAAAGGAUCUCCGAUAUGUCAAAAGGAGCAUUAUCGGGGGUACCAUGGGAUUAGUUCAGAUAUUCCCUGUUCCAAUACCAGUAAGCAAGAAAAGACUUGCUCUCCCCAGAGAACUAAUUAUUCAGACCGGCAGGAAAAAGACCAGAAAGAGAAAGCGUUAUGGAGGAAGCAGCAGAGCUGUUUGAAGAGGCAAAUCAGCAUGUGAACAAGGCUUUUCUGAUACAUCUUUUAACAAAAAUGAACACAGUGGAACACCACAUCAAAGUAACUGUCCUGCUCCAUCAGCGUGAUUGAAACGGCACAAUCUGUGAUUUUAUUUUUUUUUGUUGUUUACUUUUGAAUGAAAUUCACACCUAACAAGAAAGCAUUUCUACUUAAGUCUGUUUACCCUGCA